This 88-nucleotide transfer RNA is filed under the name candidate division MSBL1 archaeon SCGC-AAA261D19. RNAcentral describes it as "candidate divison MSBL1 archaeon SCGC-AAA261D19 tRNA". It matches the Rfam family "tRNA". From Rfam's summary of the family: Transfer RNA (tRNA) molecules are approximately 80 nucleotides in length. Their secondary structure includes four short double-helical elements and three loops (D, anti-codon, and T loops). The record is from Rfam by way of RNAcentral. Lineage: Archaea; Methanobacteriati; Methanobacteriota.
GCGGCCGUGGUCUAGUCUGGCUUAAGACUCGGGCCCUCCAACUACCGGCGGAAAGCCCGAUACGCGGGUUCGAAUCCCGCCGGCCGCA